This is a long non-coding RNA of Branchiostoma floridae (Florida lancelet), 343 nucleotides long. RefSeq lists it as uncharacterized. The record is from RefSeq and is a predicted model, not a curated record. Lineage: Eukaryota; Metazoa; Chordata; Leptocardii; Amphioxiformes; Branchiostomatidae. The transcript is spliced from 2 exons.
CUGAAAGUGUCGACAAGGUUUAGACCAUAUGAAACAGUUUUUAAGACGUCUCGAGCCACAACACCGGUGCCCCACCCCACCGAAAAACCCAUAACACAUUGCCACGUGACAUGCUACCCGACUGGUCUAACGACAUCGUCUCGGUCUGACGAGGUCACUAGAAAUUUGGCAGUGAUCCGUGUGGAUCUAUACGACACAGUGAACCCACAGAAAGUGUGCCAUCGUAUUCUGCGACGCGUUCAACAAUCGUGAUCAGUUUGCUGGAGUGAAGUUGGCCCAGUGUGUUUCAACGAGUAAAACAGUAUGUCCACCGAUCGCGACACUAUGGCAUCUAACGGACAGG